Molecule: ribosomal RNA, 384 nt
Filed under: uncultured bacterium
Lineage: Bacteria
Description: bacterial SSU rRNA
Rfam family: Bacterial small subunit ribosomal RNA
Source: RNAcentral
GACGAACGCUGGCGGCGUGCUUAACACAUGCAAGUCGAGCGGUAAGGCCCUUUCGGGGGUACACGAGCGGCGAACGGGUGAGUAACACGUGGGUGACCUGCCCUUAGCUCUGGGAUAAGCCUGGGAAACUGGGUCUAAUACCGGAUAUGACUCCAUGACGCAUGUUGUGGGGUGGAAAGCCCUGUGCGGCUAGGGAUGGGCCUGCGGCCUAUCAGCUUGUUGGUGGGGUGAUGGCCUACCAAGGCGACGACGGUAGCCGGCCUGAGAGGCGACCGGCCACACUGGGACUGAGACACGGCCCAGACUCCUACGGGAGGCAGCAGUGGGGAAUCUUGCGCAAUGGGCGAAAGCCUGACGCAGCGACGCCGCGUGGGGAUGACGGCC